This 700-nucleotide ribosomal RNA is filed under the name Bacillus amyloliquefaciens. RNAcentral's name for it is "bacterial SSU rRNA". It matches the Rfam family "Bacterial small subunit ribosomal RNA", at positions 37 to 719 of the family's 1533-position model. The record is from RNAcentral. Lineage: Bacteria; Bacillati; Bacillota; Bacilli; Caryophanales; Bacillaceae.
CGGGGGGGGGUGCUAUACAUGCAAGUCGAGCGGACAGAUGGGAGCUUGCUCCCUGAUGUUAGCGGCGGACGGGUGAGUAACACGUGGGUAACCUGCCUGUAAGACUGGGAUAACUCCGGGAAACCGGGGCUAAUACCGGAUGGUUGUCUGAACCGCAUGGUUCAGACAUAAAAGGUGGCUUCGGCUACCACUUACAGAUGGACCCGCGGCGCAUUAGCUAGUUGGUGAGGUAACGGCUCACCAAGGCGACGAUGCGUAGCCGACCUGAGAGGGUGAUCGGCCACACUGGGACUGAGACACGGCCCAGACUCCUACGGGAGGCAGCAGUAGGGAAUCUUCCGCAAUGGACGAAAGUCUGACGGAGCAACGCCGCGUGAGUGAUGAAGGUUUUCGGAUCGUAAAGCUCUGUUGUUAGGGAAGAACAAGUGCCGUUCAAAUAGGGCGGCACCUUGACGGUACCUAACCAGAAAGCCACGGCUAACUACGUGCCAGCAGCCGCGGUAAUACGUAGGUGGCAAGCGUUGUCCGGAAUUAUUGGGCGUAAAGGGCUCGCAGGCGGUUUCUUAAGUCUGAUGUGAAAGCCCCCGGCUCAACCGGGGAGGGUCAUUGGAAACUGGGGAACUUGAGUGCAGAAGAGGAGAGUGGAAUUCCACGUGUAGCGGUGAAAUGCGUAGAGAUGUGGAGGAACACCAGUGGCGAA